RNAcentral lists this transfer RNA (76 nucleotides) under Haliotis rubra (blacklip abalone). Its description in RNAcentral is "tRNA-Ile". It matches the Rfam family "tRNA". From Rfam's summary of the family: Transfer RNA (tRNA) molecules are approximately 80 nucleotides in length. The record is from RNAcentral. Lineage: Eukaryota; Metazoa; Mollusca; Gastropoda; Lepetellida; Haliotidae.
GGCCGAUUAGCUCAGUUGGUUAGAGCGCCGUGCUAAUAACGCGGAUGUCAUGGGUUCGAGAGCCCCAUAUUGGCCA